GCGGAUGAAGGGAGCUUGCUCCUGGAUUCAGCGGCGGACGGGUGAGUAAUGCCUAGGAAUCUGCCUGGUAGUGGGGGAUAACGUCCGGAAACGGGCGCUAAUACCGCAUACGUCCUGAGGGAGAAAGUGGGGGAUCUUCGGACCUCACGCUAUCAGAUGAGCCUAGGUCGGAUUAGCUAGUUGGUGGGGUAAAGGCCUACCAAGGCGACGAUCCGUAACUGGUCUGAGAGGAUGAUCAGUCACACUGGAACUGAGACACGGUCCAGACUCCUACGGGAGGCAGCAGUGGGGAAUAUUGGACAAUGGGCGAAAGCCUGAUCCAGCCAUGCCGCGUGUGUGAAGAAGGUCUUCGGAUUGUAAAGCACUUUAAGUUGGGAGGAAGGGCAGUAAGUUAAUACCUUGCUGUUUUGACGUUACCAACAGAAUAAGCACCGGCUAACUUCGUGCCAGCAGCCGCGGUAAUACGAAGGGUGCAAGCGUUAAUCGGAAUUACUGGGCGUAAAGCGCGCGUAGGUGGUUCAGCAAGUUGGAUGUGAAAUCCCCGGGCUCAACCUGGGAACUGCAUCCAAAACUACUGAGCUAGAGUACGGUAGAGGGUGGUGGAAUUUCCUGUGUAGCGGUGAAAUGCGUAGAUAUAGGAAGGAACACCAGUGGCGAAGGCGACCACCUGGACUGAUACUGACACUGAGGUGCGAAAGAGUGGGGAGCAAACAGGAUUAGAUACCCUGGUAGUCCACGCCGUAAACGAUGUCGACUAGCCGUUGGGAUCCUUGAGAUC
Molecule: ribosomal RNA, 778 nt
Filed under: uncultured Pseudomonadales bacterium
Lineage: Bacteria; Pseudomonadati; Pseudomonadota; Gammaproteobacteria; Pseudomonadales
Description: bacterial SSU rRNA
Rfam family: Bacterial small subunit ribosomal RNA
Source: RNAcentral